AUUUUAUUGCAGUAAAAGUGUUAUGUUAGGACAUUAUUAACAGUAUUGUGACAUACAAAACUACAAAAAUAACAUUUCUUCAUUUCUCACACUUUUUUUUAGAUUUGAAUGAUAAUAAAUGUGGGUGGUCUUAAUAUGAAAAAAGUAAAUAAUGAUUGAACAGACAUAUAGUCAAAUUCUAGUUUGUUUUGAUCUUGUUUUGAUCAGAACUUGUACAAUUACCUCCGUCCUUAAGGGGUUAAAACAUUGCCAUGGGAACAGUAUGUUUUAAAUGUCAACAUUGCUCAUUGCGACACCAUAAUGUCACUAUUUUCACCAUUGAAAAUAGCAAUGUUAAAGGACCACUAUAGUGCCCUGAGGGUGUCUCGGGCUUUGGGGGGAGCUCCUCCUCCUCUCCGCCUCCUCUCCUCCUCUUCGGCUUAAUGCGCAUGUGCAUACAAUGCUUUCCUAUGGAUGCUGGCGUCUUCUCACUGUGAAAAUCACAGUGAGAAGCACGCAAGCGCCUCUAGCGGCUGUCAAUGAGACAGCCACCAGAGGCUAGAUUAACCCUAUUAUAAACAUAGCCG
Molecule: non-coding RNA, 566 nt
Organism: Pelobates cultripes (western spadefoot toad)
Lineage: Eukaryota; Metazoa; Chordata; Amphibia; Anura; Pelobatidae
Source: the annotation of a GenBank genome assembly